Bubalus bubalis (water buffalo) is the source of this 870-nucleotide long non-coding RNA. RefSeq lists it as uncharacterized. The transcript is spliced from 3 exons. The record is from RefSeq and is a predicted model, not a curated record. NCBI's taxonomy places the organism in Eukaryota, Metazoa, Chordata, Mammalia, Artiodactyla, Bovidae.
CAAGAAUUUUGGUAAAAUCUCAGAAGGGGCUUCCUAUUAGUCCCAGUCUUCCAGAGUCACAAAUGGCUGCUUUCCAAAAAACACCUGAUGUCACAAACUGGGGUUCCACAACUUUCAUCCCCUGUCUCUGCCGCCUGCCCGCGGGUCUCCACUUCCUCAGACUGGGUGCUACCACGGGCUACCCGGGCACGCGCCGAGUGAUGUCAUCUUCGCGCGCCCAAGCGGAGGUCCAUCUAGCCCCGUCCCCCUUGAUUAGAGGGGUGGGGCAGUAGAGUCUGCGCAGGCGCGAUGCUACCUCGGGCAUGGAAAGGCGAGAAAAAGGCUUGGUUUGGGUUGUGUGCGGUUGCCCUCACCUAACUACUCUUCCAAAAUCUUAUAUGCACUUCAGAAAAAAAAAAGUUAUUGAAAUACAGGCAUGGACUUUUUAUUCCUUAUUUUGCUCUUCCUCUUCUGUAUAUAACCCUUGUUUGUAUACUCACUCAUUCAACGGCAAUUAAUUAAAAGUCCACUUAUGUUCCAGGCAAGCACUGUUACAGAAUCGGGGAUACGGCAAUGACAAAACAGACAGAAUGCCUAGCCUCAUGGAGAUUACUUUCUAAUUAAGAAAGUGAACAAUGAAUAACUCCGCAAAGAUAUUUUAGGCAUACCUCAUUUUAUUGCACCUCACUUUAGGUCACUGGGCAACUCUACCAUUGUCAGAUAAUGGUUAGCAUUUUUUAGCAUUAAAUUAUUUUGAUUAAGAUAUGUAUUUUUGACAUAAUACUAUUGCACAUUUAAUAGACUAUAGGUGGCUCAGAGGUUAAAGCGUCUGGCUGCAAUGUGGGAGACCUGGGUUCGAUCCCUGGGUAGAGAAGAUCCCCUGGAGAAGGA